RNAcentral lists this ribosomal RNA (484 nucleotides) under uncultured bacterium. RNAcentral describes it as "partial 16S ribosomal RNA". It matches the Rfam family "Bacterial small subunit ribosomal RNA", at positions 30 to 507 of the family's 1533-position model. The record is from RNAcentral.
AUUGAACGCUGGCGGCAGGCCUAACACAUGCAAGUCGAGCGGAUGAAGGGAGCUUGCUCCUGGAUUCAGCGGCGGACGGGUGAGUAAUGCCUAGGAAUCUGCCUGGUAGUGGGGGAUAACGUCCGGAAACGGGCGCUAAUACCGCAUACGUCCUGAGGGAGAAAGUGGGGGAGCUUCGGACCUCACGCUAUCGGAUGAGCCUAGGUCGGAUUAGCUAGUUGGUGGGGUAAAGGCCUACCAAGGCGACGAUCCGUAACUGGUCUGAGAGGAUGAUCAGUCACACUGGAACUGAGACACGGUCCAGACUCCUACGGGAGGCAGCAGUGGGGAAUAUUGGACAAUGGGCGAAAGCCUGAUCCAGCCAUGCCGCGUGUGUGAAGAAGGUCUUCGGAUUGUAAAGCACUUUAAGUUGGGAGGAAGGGCAGUAAGUUAAUACCUUGCUGUUUUGACGUUACCAACAGAAUAAGCACCGGCUAACUUCGUG